Zea mays is the source of this 722-nucleotide long non-coding RNA. RefSeq lists it as uncharacterized. The record is from RefSeq and is a predicted model, not a curated record. Lineage: Eukaryota; Viridiplantae; Streptophyta; Magnoliopsida; Poales; Poaceae. The transcript has 7 exons.
AUUCAUGCACCGCACUCAUAUUUCAUGUUCGAGAGUGGAAACUGCUCCUUUGGCUGGUCUUGGAACAUAUUCUAACAAAAAUGUUCCUACAUUGUAUGAGGUUAUAUAUGCUGGGCUGCUGGCAACCUUUCAGGCCUCAUUGGAAUCUAUUCAGAAUUAACUAGCAGAUGAGUUGUCAAAACUGACAGAACAAGUAACUUCUGACAAUCGGAGUAUUGCAUCUUUAUCUAUAUGUAUGCACAUUGGGUUGAAAUUCUAUGCAGUGUCAAAAGGUGUUGCUAACACAGCUGAGAGACGAUUCAGGCAUGUGAAGCUCCAUAGCAACCCUAAAAACCCAUAUAGCGGAAGCAUCACAAUGUUGUUGGCAGGUUUCAUCCAUCAAAACUGUACACAGUUUACAAGAUUACAUUUUCAUUACAAGAUGCUUGAUUACAACCAAUAUUUUCAUUUCUUUGGUGCUUGUGUAGAAGUAUCGCCUUGCAAAGUAUAUACCAAACUCUCAUGCUGAAGGUUUCAAGGACGACAAGAAAGUUCGAGUGAUUCCCUCUCGAACAUGGAUUAUGUACCAGGAUUGCAAAUCAAUGAGGCACUAAAGAUGCAAAUGGAAGUUCAGAAGCGGCUACACGAGCAACUGGAGAAAUUCUUUAUUUAUGCUAAUGAUGAAGAUGCUGUAGAAGAUGGAGAUCAGGAUGCUGAAUUGCUGAUACUUCGGUUUGAAAAAG